Molecule: ribosomal RNA, 253 nt
Filed under: uncultured bacterium
Lineage: Bacteria
Description: partial 16S ribosomal RNA
Rfam family: Bacterial small subunit ribosomal RNA
Source: RNAcentral
GACAGAGGGUGCAAACGUUGCUCGGAAUUACUGGGCGUAAAGCGCGUGUAGGCUGACCGGAAAGUCGGGCGUGAAAUCCCUGAGCUCAACUCAGGAACUGCACUCGAAACUCUCGGUCUAGAGUGGUGGGGAGGGAAGUGGAAUUCCUGGUGUAGAGGUGAAAUUCGUAGAUAUCAGGAGGAACACCAGUGGCGAAGGCGGCUUCCUGGACACCAACUGACGCUGAGACGCGAAAGCGUGGGGAGCAAACAGG